CCUACGGGGGGCUGCAGUGGGGAAUAUUGGACAAUGGGGGCAACCCUGAUCCAGCCAUGCCGCGUGUGUGAAGAAGGCCCUCGGGUUGUAAAGCACUUUCAGUGAGGAAGAACGCCUGGUGGUUAAUACCCAUCAGGAAAGACAUCACUCACAGAAGAAGCACCGGCUAACUCCGUGCCAGCAGCCGCGGUAAUACGGAGGGUGCGAGCGUUAAUCGGAAUUACUGGGCGUAAAGCGCGCGUAGGUGGCUUGAUAAGCCGGUUGUGAAAGCCCCGGGCUCAACCUGGGAACGGCAUCCGGAACUGUCAAGCUAGAGUGCAGGAGAGGAAGGUAGAAUUCCCGGUGUAGCGGUGAAAUGCGUAGAGAUCGGGAGGAAUACCAGUGGCGAAGGCGGCCUUCUGGACUGACACUGACACUGAGGUGCGAAAGCGUGGGUAGCAAACAGGAUUAGAUACCUUAGUAGUC
Molecule: ribosomal RNA, 465 nt
Filed under: Vreelandella stevensii
Lineage: Bacteria; Pseudomonadati; Pseudomonadota; Gammaproteobacteria; Oceanospirillales; Halomonadaceae
Description: partial 16S ribosomal RNA
Rfam family: Bacterial small subunit ribosomal RNA
Source: RNAcentral